AUGAUAAUUAGGCACUUACCCGUACCUGUAAGUAAAAAAAAUAAGAUUGAUCAUCACUGACUCGAUUUGACUGAUCACUAACUUGACAUCGUGGAUCGAAUGUAAUCUGAACUAAUACAGUUACAUUUUAUUUAUAUUCAUAGAUUCCCAAGUGAUCCCAUAAUUAAAGAAAAAUGGAUAGCAGCCACAUGCAGAGGACCUAUUUGGUGGCCAUUAAAAACAAGCACAAUAUGCUCCAUACACUUUACAGAAAAUCAAUUUCGACCGUGUCCAAAAAGUCGUAGGCUUUUUGAAUGGGCAGUGCCGACGCUGAAAUUGCCACAAAAGCCAAACUCAUCUCCAAAACAUGAAAUGAAUUCGGAAACUAAAGAUGUACCCAUGGAUGCCGUAAGAAAGCCACUUGAUGUCGACCAACCGAUUUUGCCUGUAGAGAUCGACUUUAACAAACCAAUAGUCAGUGGUACGGUUAAUCCCCCAGCAAUUAUAGAUUCGUCAUCUCCAAACCAUGAAAUAAAUUUAGAAACUCAAGAUGUACCAAUAGAAGUCUUAAUAAAACCACCCAAUGCCGACCAACCGAUUUUACCUAUGGAGAUCGAAUCAAACAAAACAAUAGGUAGUAGUGCGGUGAACCUCCCCCCA
Leguminivora glycinivorella is the source of this 639-nucleotide long non-coding RNA. RefSeq lists it as uncharacterized. The transcript is spliced from 3 exons. NCBI's taxonomy places the organism in Eukaryota, Metazoa, Arthropoda, Insecta, Lepidoptera, Tortricidae. The record is from RefSeq and is a predicted model, not a curated record.